RNAcentral lists this unclassified non-coding RNA (373 nucleotides) under soil metagenome. RNAcentral describes it as "partial contains internal transcribed spacer 2 and large subunit ribosomal RNA". The stretch from base 1 to 120 matches the Rfam family "5.8S ribosomal RNA", at positions 35 to 154 of the family's 154-position model. The record is from RNAcentral.
GAUGAAGAACGUAGCGAAAUGCGAUAAUUAAUGUGAAUUGCAGAAUUCCGUGAAUCAUCGAGUCUUUGAACGCACAUUGCGCCUCAUGGCAUUCCGUGAGGCAUGCCCAUCUCAGCGUUAGAAAAUAUUCUCAAAUUUUAGUUUUGUGCUAAAAUUUGGAUCAUGUCAAGGAAGCUAUUACUAUUAUUGUGAUCGCUCUUUGGAAAUUGAUAGGUCUUUGAGUUGCUACUCAUAGAACGUGAUGAAUCUUUCUUCGUUCUAUUGUAAUUCACUCUGGUAGUCCUAAAACUUGUAUGCCUGUGGCAUAUCUUGUAAUUUGACCUGAGAUUGGGUAGGGAUACCCGCUGAACUUAAGCAUAUCAAUAAGCGGGGA